This 484-nucleotide ribosomal RNA is filed under the name uncultured bacterium. Its description in RNAcentral is "partial 16S ribosomal RNA". It matches the Rfam family "Bacterial small subunit ribosomal RNA", at positions 30 to 507 of the family's 1533-position model. The record is from RNAcentral.
AUUGAACGCUGGCGGCAGGCCUAACACAUGCCAGUCGAGCGGAAGAAGGGAGCUUGCUCCUGGAUUCAGCGGCGGACGGGUGAGUAAUGCCUAGGAAUCUGCCUGGUUGUGGGGGAUAACGUCCGGAAACGGGCGCUAAUACCGCAUACGUCCUGUGGGAGAAAGUGGGGGAUCUUCGGACCUCACGCUAUCAGAUGAGCCUAGGUCGGAUUAGCUAGUUGGUGGGGUAAAGGCCUACCAAGGCGACGAUCCGUAACUGGUCUGAGAGGAUGAUCAGUCACACUGGAACUGAGACACGGUCCAGACUCCUACGGGAGGCAGCAGUGGGGAAUCUUGGACAAUGGGCGAAAGCCUGAUCCAGCCAUGCCGCGUGUGUGAAGAAGGUCUUCGGAUUGUAAAGCACUUUAAGUUGGGAGGAAGGGCAGUAAGUUAAUACCUUGCUGUUUUGACGUUACCAACAGAAUAAGCACCGGCUAACUUCGUG